GACGAACGCUGGCGGCGUGCUUAACACAUGCAAGUCGAACGGAAAGGCCCUGCUUUUGUGGGGUGCUCGAGUGGCGAACGGGUGAGUAACACGUGAGUAACCUGCCCUUGACUUUGGGAUAACUUCAGGAAACUGGGGCUAAUACCGGAUAGGAGCUCCUGCUGCAUGGUGGGGGUUGGAAAGUUUCGGCGGUUGGGGAUGGACUGGCGGCUUAUCAGCUUGUUGGUGGGGUAGUGGCUUACCAAGGCUUUGGCGGGUAGCCGGCCUGAGAGGGUGACCGGCCACAUAGGGACUGAGAUACGGCCCAGACGCCUACGGGAGGCAGCAGUGGGGAAUAUUGCACAAUGGGCGGAAGCCUGAUGCAGCAACGCCGCGUGUGGGAUGACGGCCUUCGGGGUGUAAACCGCUUUCGCCUGUGACGAAGCGUGAGUGACGGUAAUGGGUAAAGAAGCACCGGCUAACUACGUG
RNAcentral lists this ribosomal RNA (468 nucleotides) under uncultured bacterium. RNAcentral describes it as "partial 16S ribosomal RNA". It matches the Rfam family "Bacterial small subunit ribosomal RNA", at positions 28 to 507 of the family's 1533-position model. The record is from RNAcentral.